RNAcentral lists this long non-coding RNA (1050 nucleotides) under Homo sapiens (human). RNAcentral's name for it is "HSALNT0369073". The record is from RNAcentral. Lineage: Eukaryota; Metazoa; Chordata; Mammalia; Primates; Hominidae.
CUUUUCACACAGUAAAACCCUGCUUUACUUCCCUUUGAGUCGUCUGUGAGCCUAAAUUUUUGUGGCUGUGGGAAGGACAAGAACCCCAUCUUUAGCUGAAAUAAGGAAAAGUUCCGCAACAUUUUUGGCACACACCCUGGGGGCUCCGGAAGUGAAAGUUCCCAGGAGAUGAAGACAUUGAAACUGCCAUCAUAAAAUUAAUAAAAGGUUCAAGAUUAGAAUUAUGGUAUUGGCCUGGAUUUUGUUAAGACAGAGACAUAGGAUUAUGUUGGCUCGGAGAAUGAUACCUCAAAGGCUGGUGCUGAGAGUUCUUAGAAGCUGCUUCAGAAUCAAGUUGUCUUCUCCUCAUAGUCCUCCACUAAAGCCUGAACAACAAGGAAUGCUGUCGGAACUGGACCUUGAUGAAGGAAAUACUUUCUGACUCAUUGGAAUUUGUUAUAGUCAAAUUUGCCUAUGUGAUAACUUAGGUCUUCACGAUGGCCCAGAGUAAGACGACGCAGGAGGACCCUUCUAGUCAUUUAAUUAUUGCUUGACCAGAACUGUGCCUUGUAAGAAAUGCUUGCUGUUUGGAAACUUGUGAAGACCUGCAUCCCUUUGUAUCUCAAAUAAAGACAGAGGUGUUUCCAGACCUAAGAAUAACAGGAACAUGGAGGAGUGGCAUCUCCAGUGUAGCCACCCACCAAAGCCUCAUCCUGAACACUAUGGCCUAGUGGGUCACUUACAGGGAUGUAGCUGGCAUUGAUGUAGUCAGAGCAAGGAUCAUCAUCUACAUUGGAGAGCUUCACUCGCGUGGCAUCAUCUGGAAGGAGAGAUUUGCUGCUGAGUCUUGGAGUGACUUUUCUACAGUUUAUGUGAUGUGUGUGAUGUGCCUUAGCUCUGAUCCCCACAACAGCCACAGAUGGGAAGUGAUCUUAUCUCCAUUUUGCAGAUGAGGCUCAGGCAGGAUAACUAACUUGCCCCAUGUUGCAUAGGUGGCCUAUAACCAGUCAGACACAGGAGACAACAUGAAGCCCCAUCUGUGCUUCCCUUUCUGACAUUACCACAUUUGCC